RNAcentral lists this ribosomal RNA (443 nucleotides) under uncultured bacterium. RNAcentral's name for it is "bacterial SSU rRNA". It matches the Rfam family "Bacterial small subunit ribosomal RNA", at positions 29 to 506 of the family's 1533-position model. The record is from RNAcentral.
ACGAACGCUGGCGGCAGGCUUAACACAUGCAAGUCGAGCGCAAUACUAUCUUCGGAUAGUGGAGAGCGGCGGACGGGUGAGUAACGCGUGGGAACCUACCCUUUGGUUCGGAAUAACUUUGGGAAACCGAAGCUAAUACCGGAUACGCCCCGUAAGGGGGAAAGAUUUAUUGCCGAAGGAUGGGCCCGCGUUGGAUUAGGUAGUUGGUAGGGUAAUGGCCUACCAAGCCUACGAUCCAUAGCUGUUCUGAGAGGAAGAUCAGCCACACUGGGACUGAGACACGGCCCAGACUCCUACGGGAGGCAGCAGUGGGGAAUCUUGGACAAUGGGGGAAACCCUGAUCCAGCCAUGCCGCGUGAAUGAAGAAGGCCUUAGGGUUGUAAAGUUCUUUCGCUCGUGACGAUGAUGACGGUAACGAGAGAAGAAGCCCCGGCUAACUUCGU